GCCCUGCGCAAACAUGCAGAGCUCUCGCCUCCCAGCUGCGUAAACAAGCCGCUCUCCUUCCAGCCCAUGAGCGGCUCRCUGCUUCUGGGGAGGUCCUUUGAGGACAAACUCUGGGGCUGUGACUUGGAUCCUCCAGGAGCCAGGAUCACGUGGAAGGACUGCAGGCUGCCUGCACUCCAAUACCAGAYUCCAUAAAAGAAGGGCUGAUUAUUUGUGGUGUGUGCAAAGCUUUGAGCACUGAACAGCAGCUGCAGCGUGCAGGCCUUCUCCAAACAAGUGGAACUGUGGAAGGAAAGGCAACCUAAAAACGUGCAUUGUGAACAUUUGUGCAGAGGCUCAUCUUAAUGAACAGGGGCCCUCCCUGCUGCAUUAAUUUGCAAAUUAAAAGAAAUUUGAAACAUGGCAAACUGGAAGCAUGUGAAUUUAUUAUGGGAAGGCCUCUGUGGUUGCCACCUACACCUCCAAUUGGACCAAGAGACUUAAUAUUCAAGGAUGACUGAAUGCUAGGUUAUUGCAGGGAACUAAUUAAAAGUGUUAGGUCUAUAUACCCAUGGGUGUGUGAUGCUCCUCCUGAACCUGCUGGUAUGUUACCUGUCGCAACCUGGAGACAGGGGAUAUGUGAAAGUCCACCAAGGAAAGACCUCUCUUCAGCAUCACUAGAAGAGACCUUACGAGAUCGUAUUAAGCACCAACACUGCUGUACACCCUGAAGGACUGACCACUUGGGUACACACAUCCUACCGCAAGAAAGUGACAUCACCUGCAGAGCCUGGCCCAACUAAGUCCUCUUUCAAGCAAGAAUAAUCAAAUUGGGAACUUCAUUGUGAGCCAGACGUGACUCCUAGGCUCCCACGAGGAGCCACGGAACAACGUGCCUGUUAACAGUUGAGUGUCUUAGAAGGUACCUAUGGACCCUGGUAUCACCCUGUGCAAAAUUUAAAURGUGCCCACCAUUUUUUUUCACUAACUGUUAUC
This is a long non-coding RNA of Nothoprocta perdicaria, 975 nucleotides long. RefSeq lists it as uncharacterized. The transcript has 3 exons. The record is from RefSeq and is a predicted model, not a curated record. Lineage: Eukaryota; Metazoa; Chordata; Aves; Tinamiformes; Tinamidae.